RNAcentral lists this non-coding RNA (111 nucleotides) under Aureoumbra lagunensis. The record is from RNAcentral. Lineage: Eukaryota; Pelagophyceae; Sarcinochrysidales; Sarcinochrysidaceae.
GAGCGAAAAGUUUCGAUUGCGCAUAAUGCUGAAUAUAACAAAAAUGCAAGACCAACAUCAGGUGGUGGUCGAAAUACCAAGAGAUCAGCAGCAAUUGCUGCGCGACGUAGA